RNAcentral lists this ribosomal RNA (822 nucleotides) under Sorites orbiculus. RNAcentral's name for it is "SSU rRNA". It matches the Rfam family "Eukaryotic small subunit ribosomal RNA", at positions 1160 to 1802 of the family's 1831-position model. Lineage: Eukaryota; Foraminifera; Miliolida; Soritidae. The record is from RNAcentral.
AAGGGCACCACAAGAACGCGUGGAGCAUGUGGCUUAAUUUGACUCAACCCGGGAAAUCUUACCAGGUCCAGACAUAUUGAGGAUUGACAGGCGAUAGUAUAUAAAAUAUAUUUUUAUAUGCAUAAAAAUGAUAGUCCUUUCAUGAUUAUAUGAUAGGUGGUGCAUGGCCGUUCUUAGUUCGUGGAGUGAUUUGUCUGCUUAAUUGCGUUUCAGUAAAUAAAAUAUAUAAUAUAUUAUAAUAUUUAGUUCUGCCAUUUAUUUAUGGAUUUAAAGUGAACAUAUUAUAUAUAUUAUUAUAUAAUAAAUGAAUGCAACGAACGUGACCGUAACCUUUUAUUGCUAUUGAAAAUUAUAAUUAUAGCAUAAAAUUAAAGGAACCGCUGUCAUUACUAAAUAUGUGUUAAAAUAGAGUAAGAUUAUGGCAAUAACAGGUCUGUGAUGCCCUCAGAUGUUCUGGGCUGCACACGUGCUACAAUAAUUACAUUAAUAAGUAUAUAUACUUUAUAAUAUAUAAUAUUAUAUUACAACCUAUUUCGAAAGUAAAUCGGUAAUCAUUUAAAAAUCGUGAUUAAUUAAUAUAAAUAUAAUUAAUUUAAGGUGGGGAUAGUGUAUUGUUAAUUAUUACACUUGGCCUUAACUAGGAAUGCCUUGUACUCUUCUUUGGUUUAACAUACCAAGAGGAAUACGUCCCUGCCCUUUGUACACACCGCCCGUCGCUCUUACCGAUGAAUUAUAUUAUAAAUCUAAGGGAUUUAUUAUAAUUAAAAUAUAAAAAACUUAUAUACAUAAUGUGAUUUAAAGGAAAAAAGUCGAACAAGGCAU